GACGAACGCUGGCGGCGUGCCUAAUACAUGCAAGUCGAACGCACUCUCGUUUAGAUUGAAGGAGUUUGCUCCUGAUUGAUAAACAUUUGAGUGAGUGGCGGACGGGUGAGUAACACGUGGGUAACCUGCCCUAAAGUGGGGGAUAACAUUUGGAAACAGAUGCUAAUACCGCAUAAAACCUAACACCGCAUGGUGUAGGGUUGAAAGAUGGUUUCGGCUAUCACUUUAGGAUGGACCCGCGGUGCAUUAGUUAGUUGGUGAGGUAAAGGCUCACCAAGACCGUGAUGCAUAGCCGACCUGAGAGGGUAAUCGGCCACACUGGGACUGAGACACGGCCCAGACUCCUACGGGAGGCAGCAGUAGGGAAUCUUCCACAAUGGACGAAAGUCUGAUGGAGCAACGCCGCGUGAGUGAAGAAGGUUUUCGGAUCGUAAAACUCUGUUGUUGGAGAAGAAUGUAUCUGAUAGUAACUGAUCGGGUAGUGACGGUAUCCAACCAGAAAGCCACGGCUAACUACGUG
RNAcentral lists this ribosomal RNA (520 nucleotides) under uncultured bacterium. Its description in RNAcentral is "partial 16S ribosomal RNA". It matches the Rfam family "Bacterial small subunit ribosomal RNA", at positions 28 to 507 of the family's 1533-position model. The record is from RNAcentral.